AUUGAACGCUGGCGGCAGGCCUAACACAUGCAAGUCGAACGGUAACAGGAAACAGCUUGCUGUUUCGCUGACGAGUGGCGGACGGGUGAGUAAUGUCUGGGAAACUGCCUGAUGGAGGGGGAUAACUACUGGAAACGGUAGCUAAUACCGCAUAACGUCGCAAGACCAAAGAGGGGGACCUUCGGGCCUCUUGCCAUCGGAUGUGCCCAGAUGGGAUUAGCUAGUAGGUGGGGUAACGGCUCACCUAGGCGACGAUCCCUAGCUGGUCUGAGAGGAUGACCAGCCACACUGGAACUGAGACACGGUCCAGACUCCUACGGGAGGCAGCAGUGGGGAAUAUUGCACAAUGGGCGCAAGCCUGAUGCAGCCAUGCCGCGUGUAUGAAGAAGGCCUUCGGGUCGUAAAGUACUUUCAGCGGGGAGGAAGGGAGUAAAGUUAAUACCUUUGCUCAUUGACGUUACCCGCAGAAGAAGCACCGGCUAACUUCGUG
Molecule: ribosomal RNA, 490 nt
Filed under: uncultured bacterium
Lineage: Bacteria
Description: partial 16S ribosomal RNA
Rfam family: Bacterial small subunit ribosomal RNA
Source: RNAcentral